GCACGCUGGGGCCGGUGUGCAUGUCCGCCCGACGGAAAGCCUUAACGCCCCCUGCAAUCUCCACCUUGAACUUUCGGGUUCAAGGGCUACACCGAUAGCGGUCUUAUCGGGGAGCCU
This 117-nucleotide small RNA is filed under the name Pseudomonas sp. RNAcentral describes it as "partial 6S RNA". It matches the Rfam family "6S / SsrS RNA", at positions 66 to 187 of the family's 187-position model. From Rfam's summary of the family: E. coli 6S RNA was the first non coding RNA to be sequenced, but its function was unknown until recently. Lineage: Bacteria; Pseudomonadati; Pseudomonadota; Gammaproteobacteria; Pseudomonadales; Pseudomonadaceae. The record is from RNAcentral.